CCAACCAGGAUUCCCCUAGUAACGGCGAGUGAACAGGGAUUAGCCCAGCACCGAAGGUUGCGUUUGUUUAAGCGUUGACCAAUGUGGUGUUUAGGUUGCUACUUUUGAUUAUCGUUUCUGUUCAAAGUCCAAUCUUGAAUAUGGCAUUUUGUUUGGCCCGGAGAGGGUGAAAGGCCCGUAUGGACAGAACGGUUUUCAACUGUUGUAACUAUGGAGUCGGGUUGUUUGAGAAUGCAGCCCAAAGUUGGUGGUAAACUCCAUCCUAAGGCUAAAUACUGGCACGAGUCCGAUAGCGAACAAGUACCGUGA
RNAcentral lists this ribosomal RNA (309 nucleotides) under Plectanocotyle sp. RNAcentral's name for it is "eukaryotic LSU rRNA". It matches the Rfam family "Eukaryotic large subunit ribosomal RNA", at positions 65 to 356 of the family's 3401-position model. Lineage: Eukaryota; Metazoa; Platyhelminthes; Monogenea; Mazocraeidea; Plectanocotylidae. The record is from RNAcentral.